CCUACGGGAGGCAGCAGUGGGGAAUAUUGGGCAAUGGGCGCAAGCCUGACCCAGCAACGCCGCGUGAAGGAAGAAGGCUUUCGGGUUGUAAACUUCUUUUCUCAGGGACGAAGAAAGUGACGGUACCUGAGGAAUAAGCCACGGCUAACUACGUGCCAGCAGCCGCGGUAAUACGUAGGUGGCCAGCGUUAUUCGGACUUAUUGGGUGGAAAGGGCGUGUAGGCGGGAGCGCAAGUCAGAUGUGAAAACUCAGGUCUCAACCCUGAGCCUGCAUUUGAAACUGGGGUUCUUGAGUGCUGGGGAGGCAAUCGGAAUUCCGUGUGUAGCGGUGAAAUGCGUAGAUAUACGGAGGAACACCAGUGGCGAAGGCGGAUUGCUGGACAGUAACUGACGCUGAGGCGCGAAAGCGUGGGGAGCAAACAGGAUUAGAUACCCGUGUAGUC
RNAcentral lists this ribosomal RNA (443 nucleotides) under uncultured bacterium. RNAcentral's name for it is "partial 16S ribosomal RNA". It matches the Rfam family "Bacterial small subunit ribosomal RNA", at positions 338 to 795 of the family's 1533-position model. The record is from RNAcentral.